UUAUCAAAAGUGCGGGAAUAUAACAAACACUUCCUGUAGAGGGACGGGCAGGCAGCAGAUCAGAAACUUACAGAGAAAGAGAAACUUAAGAAAACUAGGGCAACAGCUGUUCACAGAUCAGCUGAGGGCGGGAACAGUGUGCUAGUAUAAAUAACAGGAAGACGCAUUGAUUUGUCCUUUCUACCAUCAGAGCCUCCUUCUUAGUGCUUACAGAUCAGCAGGGUCUAUGGUGAUUCCUCUGUGGGAGACGCCAUGGAACCCUGAGUGAUUUCGUAGCACUAAUGUCAUCAUGAAGGAAGCGGAGUUCAUGUAAAUCCUUGCUGCCAGGGGCGGGAUCAUCUGGCCCAGCACAAUUCAGAGGGGAAACUCAGUCUCCACCUCUGUUUUGCGUUGGUGUCCGGAUGCGCAGAGGCCAGUGCCGUAUGCCUAAAAGCUGCGAAGCCUGACAUCUUGCGUAAAGCCUCAAGUCUACAAAGUCUACAAAGUGAAGAACCAACCAGAAAAAAAUCGUACCAAUGCAUGUAAAGCUAAAAGUGAACCAAGAAACCUCUUUAACACGUACCUGACUCAUAAAAAAAUGCUACAAAUAUAAAGUGAAGUGAAGAAGUAUUUUUUUGGUGAAACCUUUGGUUUCUGCAUUGCUUGGUUCGGUUGGUCCGGGGCCCAGCUGAUAAAACAAAUAGCCCCGGAACAAAAUGUAAAAACAAAAAAACUAAAUAAAAAUAGCAAAAUCCGCAACAAAAA
This is a long non-coding RNA of Megalobrama amblycephala (Wuchang bream), 744 nucleotides long. RefSeq lists it as uncharacterized. The transcript has 4 exons. The record is from RefSeq and is a predicted model, not a curated record. Lineage: Eukaryota; Metazoa; Chordata; Actinopteri; Cypriniformes; Xenocyprididae.